RNAcentral lists this long non-coding RNA (1327 nucleotides) under Phasianus colchicus (ring-necked pheasant). Its description in RNAcentral is "lncRNA (ENSPCLG00000015178.1)". Lineage: Eukaryota; Metazoa; Chordata; Aves; Galliformes; Phasianidae. The record is from RNAcentral.
GUCUGAUGUGGCUCGGGGAGGACCCUAUGGGGUUCCUAUGCAUCCCUAUGGGCGCUAUGAGGACCUCUGCAGGCCCUAUAGGACUCUGGGAGGAUCCUAUUGGGCUCUGGACAAAUCUUAUGGGUCUCAGUGGGGCUCUAGGAGGACCCCGUAUGGUUCUUAUGCGUCCCUAUGGGCACUACGAGGAUCUUUGGAGGCCCUAUGGGGCUAUCAGAGAAUAUCUGGGUACCACACGGGGCUCUAGGAGGACUUCUAAGGCCCUGGGAGGACCUUUGAGGGCCCUACGGGCUCUAGGAGGAUACUAUGGGUUGCAAUGGGGCUCUGGGACAACCUUUGGGGGCCCUAAGGGGCCAUGGGAGGACCUCUGGGUGUGUAUAGGGCUCUGGGAGGACCUCUGGGUGCCCUACGGGGGCCCUGGGAGGACCUCUGGGUGUCUAUGGGGCUCUGGGAGGACCUCUGGGUGCCCUAUGGGGGCCCUGGGAGGACCUCUGGGUGCCCUACGGGGGCCCUGGGAGGACCUCUGGGUGCCCUACGCGGCUCUGGGAGGACCUCUGGGUGCCCUACGGGGGCCCUGGGAGGACCUCUGGGUGUCUAUGGGGCUCUGGGAGGACCUCUGGGUGCCCUGUGGGGCUCUGGGAGGACCUCUGGGUGCCCUACGGGGGCCCUGGGAGGACCUCUGGGUGUGUAUAGGGCUCUGGGAGGACCUCUGGGUGCCCUAUGGGGGCCCUGGGAGGACCUCUGGGUGCCCUACGGGGCUCCGGGAGGACCUCUGGGUGUCUAUAGGGCUCCAGGAGGACCCCUGGGUGCCCCAUAGGUCUCACCAUCCCCAUAGAUGCUGUCAGGGUUCAGCUCCAGCGCGGUGCUGGGCAGCGGCUGCAGCAGCUCCUCCUGUGCCCGGCGUCUGCUGCGCGCCAGCGCCUCGGAGCGCGGCCCCCCCAGCUGCAGCCGGAACCUGGGGGGGGGCACAGCACUGAGACCCCCAUAACCACCCUAUAACGACCCCAUAACCACCCCAUAGUAACCACCCCAUAGUCCCCCCAGCUGCAGCCGGAACCUGGGGGGGGCACAGCACUGAGACCCCCAUAGCCACCCUAUAACGACCCCAUAACCACCCCAUAGUAACCACCCCAUAAUCCCCCAGCUGCAGCCGGAACCUGGGGGGGGCACAGCACUGACACCCCCAUAAUCACCCUAUAACCACCCCAUAACCACCCCAUAGUCCCCCAGAUGCAGCCAGAACCUGGGGGAGUAAGGGGGGGCACAGCAUUGAGACACCCAUAACCACCCCCUAACCCCUCAAUUCCCCCCACAGCCCCCUCAGAACCCC